AGUGAACGCUGGCGGUAGGCCUAACACAUGCAAGUCGAACGGCAGCACAGUAAGAGCUUGCUCUUACGGGUGGCGAGUGGCGGACGGGUGAGGAAUACAUCGGAAUCUACUUUUUCGUGGGGGAUAACGUAGGGAAACUUACGCUAAUACCGCAUACGACCUACGGGUGAAAGCAGGGGAUCUUCGGACCUUGCGCGAUUGAAUGAGCCGAUGUCGGAUUAGCUAGUUGGCGGGGUAAAGGCCCACCAAGGCGACGAUCCGAAGCUGGUCUGAGAGGAUGAUCAGCCACACUGGAACUGAGACACGGUCCAGACUCCUACGGGAGGCAGCAGUGGGGAAUAUUGGACAAUGGGCGCAAGCCUGAUCCAGCCAUACCGCGUGGGUGAAGAAGGCCUUCGGGUUGUAAAGCCCUUUUGUUGGGAAAGAAAAGCAGCAGGUUAAUACCCCGCUGUUCUGACGGUACCGAAAGAAUAAGCACCGGCUAACUUCGUG
RNAcentral lists this ribosomal RNA (492 nucleotides) under uncultured bacterium. Its description in RNAcentral is "partial 16S ribosomal RNA". It matches the Rfam family "Bacterial small subunit ribosomal RNA", at positions 29 to 507 of the family's 1533-position model. The record is from RNAcentral.